UAAUUAGGUCCUUGCCUAAUUAUGAAACCAAUUAGGCCUCAAUCUAAUUGAGAAUUAAUUAGAUUAAAACUCCAUUGAUCCAGAGAUUGAUUUUUGAUGGAUAUCAGAGAAGCUAUUUGAUAAUAGGGCUUGAUCCAAUCAAACCUACAAUCCAACAGAGUUUGAUCUAAUCAAAACCUAUACAAAAAUAAUUAAAUCCUAUUCAACUUAAAAUUUAAUUUGCAUCCCUG
RNAcentral lists this long non-coding RNA (230 nucleotides) under Elaeis guineensis (African oil palm). RNAcentral's name for it is "long non-coding RNA (EGUI_LNC035888)". Lineage: Eukaryota; Viridiplantae; Streptophyta; Magnoliopsida; Arecales; Arecaceae. The record is from RNAcentral.